RNAcentral lists this transfer RNA (74 nucleotides) under Bacteroidota bacterium. RNAcentral describes it as "Bacteroidetes bacterium tRNA-Ile". It matches the Rfam family "tRNA". From Rfam's summary of the family: Transfer RNA (tRNA) molecules are approximately 80 nucleotides in length. Their secondary structure includes four short double-helical elements and three loops (D, anti-codon, and T loops). The record is from RNAcentral. RNAcentral also lists the same sequence under 2 other names. Lineage: Bacteria; Pseudomonadati; Bacteroidota.
UGUCCUGUAGCUCAGUUGGUUAGAGCACCACACUGAUAAUGUGGGGGUCGGCAGUUCGAGUCUGCCCGGGACAA